GACGAACGCUGGCGGCGUGCUUAACACAUGCAAGUCGAACGGAAAGGCCCGGCUUUUGUGCGGUGGUCGAGGGGCGGACGGGUGAGUAACACGUGAGUAACCUGUCCCUCACUGUGGGAGAACUUCAGGAAACUGGGGCUAAUAGCGGAUAGGAUCUCCUGCUGCAUGGUGGGGGUUGGAAAGUUUCGGCGGUUGGUGAUGGACUCGCGGCUUAUGAGCUUGUUGGUGGGGUAGUGGCUUACCAAGGCUUUGACGGGUAGCCGGCCUGAGCGGGUGACCGGCGCCAUUGCGACUGAGAUGAGGCCCAGCCUCGUCCGCGAGGCAACGGAGCGGAAUGUUGCACUGUGGGCGGAAGGGUGAUCUAGCACCGCCGCGUGGGGUAUGACGGGAUUCGGGUUGUGAACCGAUUUCGCCUGAGCCGAAGCGUGAGUGACGGUACUGGGUAAAGAAGCACCGGCUAACUCCGUG
This 468-nucleotide ribosomal RNA is filed under the name uncultured bacterium. RNAcentral describes it as "partial 16S ribosomal RNA". It matches the Rfam family "Bacterial small subunit ribosomal RNA", at positions 28 to 507 of the family's 1533-position model. The record is from RNAcentral.